UACGUACUGGGCGAACGUUAUUCGGAAUCACUGGGCUUAAAGGGUGCGUAGGCGGCCUUCCAGGUCCGGUGUGAAAUCUCUCGGCUCAACCGAGAAAUGGCGCUGGAAACCGGAAGGCUUGAGUGUGCUAGGGGUGUGUGGAACUUCCAGUGGAGCGGUGAAAUGUGUUGAUAUUGGAAGGAACGCCGGUGGCGAAAGCGACACACUGGGGCAUAACUGACGCUGAGGCACGAAAGCUAGGGUAGCGAACGGG
Molecule: ribosomal RNA, 253 nt
Filed under: uncultured bacterium
Lineage: Bacteria
Description: partial 16S ribosomal RNA
Rfam family: Bacterial small subunit ribosomal RNA
Source: RNAcentral